Molecule: non-coding RNA, 246 nt
Filed under: Priestia endophytica
Lineage: Bacteria; Bacillati; Bacillota; Bacilli; Caryophanales; Bacillaceae
Description: Bacillus endophyticus T-box sequence
Rfam family: T-box leader
About the family: Uncharged tRNA acts as the effector for transcription antitermination of genes in the T-box leader family. T-boxes are found upstream of many aminoacyl-tRNA synthetase genes and some amino acid biosynthetic genes usually in Gram-positive bacteria. The anticodon of a specific tRNA base pairs to a specifier sequence within the T-box motif, and the NCCA acceptor tail of the tRNA base pairs to a conserved bulge in the T-box antiterminator hairpin.
Source: RNAcentral
AAUUGAGCGCUGAUGAGAAGAGUACGUAGAAAAUGAAAAGUACAGAGAGCCCUGAAUCGCUGAGAAAGGGUGUUUUCAUUUCUACCGAAGCAAGCCUCUGAGCUUCACAUGGGAACCUUUUCGUAAGGGGAUAGUGUGACAGGAGCUCCUGUUAUUGAGCUAGGGUAUCGUUGUACCUAAUGAGGCUUUCUAUGGCAACAUAGAAGGCGAACUGGGGUGGCACCGCGAAAACAUCUCGCCCCCAAG